This 471-nucleotide ribosomal RNA is filed under the name uncultured bacterium. RNAcentral describes it as "bacterial SSU rRNA". It matches the Rfam family "Bacterial small subunit ribosomal RNA", at positions 26 to 518 of the family's 1533-position model. The record is from RNAcentral.
AGGACGAACGCUGGCGGUGUGCCUCAUACAUGCAAGUCGAACGAUAAGGUUCCUUCGGGAAUACAUAAGUGGCGGACGGGUGAGUACAACAUAGGAAAUCUGCCCUAAACUGGGGGACAACAGAGGGAAACUCCUGCUAAUACCCCAUACGAGCUUGGUUGAAAUACCAAUCUUGAAAGCUCCGGCGGUUUGGGAUGAGCCUGUGCCUGAUUAGCUGGUUGGUGGUGUAAUGGACUACCAAGGCGACGAUCAGUAGCUGGUUUGAGAGGAUGAUCAGCCACAAUGGGACUGAGACACGGCCCAUACUCCUACGGGAGGCAGCAGUAGGGAAUUUUGCGCAAUGGGGGAAACCCUGACGCAGCAACACCGCGUGAAUGUUAAGCCCUUCGGGGUGUAAAGUUCUGUCAGUAGGGAAGAAUUAAUGACUGUACCUACAAAGGAAGCACCGGCUAACUCCGUGCCAGCCGCCGC